Molecule: ribosomal RNA, 253 nt
Filed under: uncultured Staphylococcus sp.
Lineage: Bacteria; Bacillati; Bacillota; Bacilli; Caryophanales; Staphylococcaceae
Description: partial 16S ribosomal RNA
Rfam family: Bacterial small subunit ribosomal RNA
Source: RNAcentral
AGUAACACGUGGAUAACCUACCUAUAAGACUGGGAUAACUUCGGGAAACCGGAGCUAAUACCGGAUAAUAUUUUGAGCCGCAUGGUUCAAAAGUGAAAGACGGUCUUGCUGUCACUUAUAGAUGGAUCCGCGCUGCAUUAGCUAGUUGGUAAGGUAACGGCUUACCAAGGCAACGAUGCAUAGCCGACCUGAGAGGGUGAUCGGCCACACUGGAACUGAGACACGGUCCAGACUCCUACGGGAGGCAGCAGGC